RNAcentral lists this ribosomal RNA (495 nucleotides) under uncultured bacterium. Its description in RNAcentral is "partial 16S ribosomal RNA". It matches the Rfam family "Bacterial small subunit ribosomal RNA", at positions 28 to 507 of the family's 1533-position model. The record is from RNAcentral.
GACGAACGCUGGCGGCGUGCCUAAUACAUGCAAGUAGAACGCUGAAGGAGGAGCUUGCUCUUCUGGAUGAGUUGCGAACGGGUGAGUAACGCGUAGGUAACCUGCCUGGUAGCGGGGGAUAACUAUUGGAAACGAUAGCUAAUACCGCAUAAUAGUAGAUGUUGCAUGAUAUUUACUUAAAAGGUGCAAUUGCACCACUACCAGAUGGACCUGCGUUGUAUUAGCUAGUUGGUGGGGUAACGGCUCACCAAGGCGACGAUACAUAGCCGACCUGAGAGGGGGAUCGGCCACACUGGGACUGGGACACGGCCCAGACUCCUACGGGAGGCAGCAGUAGGGAAUCUUCGGCAAUGGACGAAAGGCUGACCGAGCAACGCCGCGUGAGUGAAGAAGGGUUUCGGAUCGUAAAGCUCUGUUGUAAGAGAAGAACGAGUGUGAGAGUGGAAAGUUCACACUGUGACGGUAGCUUACCAGAAAGGGACGGCUAACUACGUG